AUUGAACGCUGGCGGCGUGCCUAACACAUGCAAGUCGAACGAAGAUUGGAGCUUGCUUCAAUCUUAGUGGCGCACGGGUGAGUAACGCGUGGAUGAUCUACCCUGGAGUUUGGAAUAACAGUGGGAAACUGCUGCUAAUACCAAAUACCAUCCCAUUUCAUCUAGUGAUCAAAGGCGGUGCAUGCUGUCGCUUGUGGUGGAGUCCGCGUCUCAUUAGCUAGUUGGUAAGGUAAUGGCUUACCAAGGCGACGAUGAGUAGCCGGUCUGAGAGGAUGAUCGGCCACACUGGGACUGGAACACGGCCCAGACUCCUACGGGAGGCAGCAGUGGGGAAUAUUGCGCAAUGGGCGAAAGCCUGACGCAGCGACGCCGCGUGAGGGAUGAAGGUUCUCGGAUCGUAAACCUCUGUCAGAAGGAAAGAAGUGUUGUGGGAGUAACUGCCCGCAAUUUGACGGUACCUUCAAAGGAAGCACCGGCUAACUCCGUGCCAGCAGCCGCAGUAAUAC
This 506-nucleotide ribosomal RNA is filed under the name uncultured bacterium. RNAcentral's name for it is "partial 16S ribosomal RNA". It matches the Rfam family "Bacterial small subunit ribosomal RNA", at positions 30 to 526 of the family's 1533-position model. The record is from RNAcentral.